RNAcentral lists this ribosomal RNA (253 nucleotides) under uncultured bacterium. Its description in RNAcentral is "partial 16S ribosomal RNA". It matches the Rfam family "Bacterial small subunit ribosomal RNA", at positions 524 to 776 of the family's 1533-position model. The record is from RNAcentral.
UACGGAGGGUGCAAGCAUUGAUCGGAAUUACUGGGCGUAAAGGGCGCGUAGGCGGCUCGAUAAGUCGGAUGUGAAAUUCCGGGGCUCAACCCCGGAGCUGCAUUUGAAACUGUCGAGGUAGAGUACAGUUAGGGUAAACGGAAUUCCACGUGUAGCGGUGAAAUGCGUAGAUAUGUGGAAGAACACCGGUGGUGAAGACGGUUUACUGGGCUGACACUGACGCUGAGGCGCGAAAGCAUGGGGAGCAAACAGG